GGUAUUCCUUAUCUGUGUCUAAUUUCGUUGAAUUGUCUGGAACCUGUCUCUCUGUGCUCUGAUCCUCUGCAAAACACAGAGAGACAGGUCCUUCGUGAGUCACAUACCGUUAUCGGGUACGUG
Molecule: small RNA, 123 nt
Filed under: Erwinia tasmaniensis
Lineage: Bacteria; Pseudomonadati; Pseudomonadota; Gammaproteobacteria; Enterobacterales; Erwiniaceae
Description: tp2
Rfam family: tp2
Source: Rfam by way of RNAcentral